AUUGAACGCUGGCGGCAUGCCUUACACAUGCAAGUCGAACGGUAAGGCCCUUCGGGGUACACGAGUGGCGAACGGGUGAGUAACACGUGGGUGAUCUGCCCUGCACUUCGGGAUAAGCCUGGGAAACUGGGUCUAAUACCGGAUAGGACCACUGCCUGCAUGGGUGGUGGUGGAAAGCUUUUGCGGUGUGGGAUGGGCCCGCGGCCUAUCAGCUUGUUGGUGGGGUGAUGGCCUACCAAGGCGACGACGGGUAGCCGGCCUGAGAGGGUGACCGGCCACACUGGGACUGAGAUACGGCCCAGACUCCUACGGGAGGCAGCAGUGGGGAAUAUUGCACAAUGGGCGCAGGCCUGAUGCAGCGACGCCGCGUGAGGGAUGACGGCCUUCGGGUUGUAAACCUCUUUCAGCACCGACGAAGCGCAAGUGACGGUAGGUGCAGAAGAAGGACCGGCCAACUACGUGCCAACCGCCGCCGUAA
RNAcentral lists this ribosomal RNA (478 nucleotides) under uncultured bacterium. RNAcentral's name for it is "partial 16S ribosomal RNA". It matches the Rfam family "Bacterial small subunit ribosomal RNA", at positions 28 to 523 of the family's 1533-position model. The record is from RNAcentral.